GAUGAACGCUGGCGGCGUGCCUAAUACAUGCAAGUCGAGCGAACGGACGAGAAGCUUGCUUCUCUGAUGUUAGCGGCGGACGGGUGAGUAACACGUGGAUAACCUACCUAUAAGACUGGGAUAACUUCGGGAAACCGGAGCUAAUACCGGAUAAUAUUUUGAACCGCAUGGUUCAAAAGUGAAAGACGGUCUUGCUGUCACUUAUAGAUGGAUCCGCGCUGCAUUAGCUAGUUGGUAAUGUAACGGCUUACCAAGGCAACGAUGCAUAGCCGACCUGAGAGGGUGAUCGGCCACACUGGAACUGAGACACGGUCCAGACUCCUACGGGAGGCAGCAGUAGGGAAUCUUCCGCAAUGGGCGAAAGCCUGACGGAGCAACGCCGCGUGAGUGAUGAAGGUCUUCGGAUCGUAAAACUCUGUUAUUAGGGAAGAACAUAUGUGUAAGUAACUGUGCACAUCUUGACGGUACCUAAUCAGAAAGCCACGGCUAACUACGUG
RNAcentral lists this ribosomal RNA (497 nucleotides) under uncultured bacterium. RNAcentral describes it as "partial 16S ribosomal RNA". It matches the Rfam family "Bacterial small subunit ribosomal RNA", at positions 28 to 507 of the family's 1533-position model. The record is from RNAcentral.